GCGAAUCCACGGCGGAGAGCAGGCGCGCGCUGGGCUGGUGGAUGGACAGCACCACCGUCGUGCCUCUGGCGGCCGCCACGGCGCGGAGGCAGCCGACGACCACGAACGCCGAGGAGGAGUCGAGGCCGGAGGUCGGCUCAUCGAGGNNNNNNNNNNGUUGAGAUGCGCGGGGACGGCGAAGCCGUGUGAGAGGAGGGCGGCGUCGAAGGAGGCGAGGGAGCCGUGGUGGAGGACGGUGCCGCGGGAGAGGAGGAGGAGCGAAUCCACGGCGGAGAGCAGGCGCGUGCUGGGCUGGUGGAUGGACAUCACCACCGUCGUGCCUCUGGCGUCCGCCACGGCGCGGAGGCAGCCGACAACCACGAACGCCGAGGAGGAGUCGAGGCCGGAGGUCGGCUCAUCGAGGAGGAGCACGCCGGGGUCACGGAGCAGGGCGAGGCCAAUGGACACCCGCCGGCGCUCGCCUCCCGAUAGCCGUGAC
RNAcentral lists this long non-coding RNA (478 nucleotides) under Hordeum vulgare. RNAcentral describes it as "long non-coding RNA (HVUL_LNC014938)". The record is from RNAcentral. Lineage: Eukaryota; Viridiplantae; Streptophyta; Magnoliopsida; Poales; Poaceae.